Molecule: long non-coding RNA, 2906 nt
Filed under: Mytilus galloprovincialis (Mediterranean mussel)
Lineage: Eukaryota; Metazoa; Mollusca; Bivalvia; Mytilida; Mytilidae
Source: RNAcentral
AUUGAAGCAUUCUUUUGUUUAAAUUGUAAAAACAUUAUUUAUUGAAAAUAAUAUUGUUUGCAUUUUGAAAGUAGAAUUUCAUUCUUUUCAUUUUUUUGAAAAUAUGUUGUGUCUUAGAUUAAGGAUGUUUGAUCCUGUUUCAAAUAACAAACCUUUUAAAAAAAAUAUUAUAAUUUGAUAGAAUAUAAAUAACGGAAAUAAUAAAAUAGAAAAAAGGAAGGGUCCUUGUCCAUGAUUUUGAGAUAUUAGCUAUUAAAAAUUAUCUCCAGACUUUGUAUACAAUUAACAUUGGCAACUUUUUCUUUCAAAAUUUAUUGAAGUUUUUGUUAGAUUUUCAAAUAUGACUUUUUAAACUAUAUGUUAUAAAAUUAUGAAAAAGAAAAAUAGUGGUAACAGGGCGAAGUUUUCUUUGGUACUACACAGAUAUAACUAGACAUUUCUGAAUAUAUAUCUGGCAAAAAUUAAAAAACAAGAGUGGCCAACAUCCUUAUGUAAAGUAAUAACAAUUGAAAAAUCAUUCCAUUUCUAUAUUGAUUCCUGAAAUUGUGUUGAUAACCGACAUUAUUUAAAAAAAAAAAAUCCUUUUUCUUGUUAGGGACAAGACAUAAGUAGACUUACUUUUGAGGACAUUUCAAAUUUUUCUUUGACUUUGUGUUUAUUUUAUACUUUUAAUUUUUGUAAAGCAUAUAUUGUUUUAUUUGAAUUAGUUUAAUUGUCAUAUUUAUUCAAUUAAAUUGAGUUUAUUAUAAAAAAUGAUUUCAAACAUUGUAUAUAAGUUUUGCAUUGCAUGCAAUUCCCAUACACCUUUGAUUUGAAAGGUAAGGCCAUGUGAACUUAAAAAUCUGUGUAUUUGUUAUUCAUUGAAAAACUAAUAACUCAUUUAUUUCACAUUUUUACACAAAGGAAUAAGACAUGAUUUUGAUGCUAUAAUGUCUACAAAAUAUGAUGGUAUUUUAACCAUGCUUUUAUAUAUGAAUUUUAUGGGUGAGCAGUGUCAGAUAGCAUCCCAGGUUGCUAAAAGGCCCUAGAGAGACCACAGACAGGUUGAUUGAAUUUUUUAAGGUUGUGUUUUUUUCACUGAAUAAUGAAGUAUAGUAUACUCUGGGCCUUCAUCAAUUAUCAGACUCUCAGAUUCACCAUACCUCAUUUUAAUUGUCAACUCUCUAUAAUAAAAUUUCUCAAAGUUAAAACUGCUCCACAAGACUCACAUCUUAAUUCAAAAGUUGCAAAGGUAUUGCUGGCACGAAAUCCCUAAUUCCACUUUAUCUGAUAGCCCUAAGGAGAAAAUUGGCUAGUGUAGAAUUUUUAUGCAUAGAAUCAAAGUAAUUUAUAUAAUUAACUAAGUACCUAUUGAAUUUAUCAAUUUUUACCUUUUUUUUGUUGAAAAAAGUACAUAGAAAAUAAUGGCAACAUGACCUGCAAGUAAAAUAAACCCUCAUCUUAAUAAACAAAUUGUCAUCUGCUGCAUACUAAGAGACUGAAAGUAUUGGAAGUGUAAUGGCUUCAAUUACUGAUGGUUUGCUAUUUAAUUCAUUUUAAGUAAUUUUACUUUUUCACCAUGGUGCUAAUGCUUGGAAUAAUUUUUACUUCCCAGUGGCGGAUCCAGAGGGGGGGUUCCGGGGGUCCGCACCCCCCCUUUAUUUUGGCCGAUCAAUGCAUUUGAAUCGGGACAUAUGUUUGCACCCCCCUGCACCCCCCCUUUGCCCUGGGCUAGCACCCCCCCUUUCGAAAAUUCCUGCAUCCGCCACUGCUUCCAAGGGUUAAGACUAGCACAAAUUUCUAACCUCUUCUAUAUAAUUUAGGUCCUGGGUGUGCACAAUAUUUUCUUUAAAAAAAAUAGUUGGCUAGUCUUUGCUUCUGGUUUUUUGCUUGCUUUCUCAUAAUAUUGUCUUAGAACAUAAACCUCACAUGUAUUAUCAGUGUCAAACAGUUAUGUUUUCAAUCUUGUAAAUCUGUUGCUCUGACUGAAUUUCUAUAUUCCAUUGAAAAUCUGAAGAUUUGAAGUGUUAAAGAUAUUUGUUUAUAAGUUGGCCAUACAAUUAGUUUGGAGAGUAUUAAAUUCCAAUAUUAUUUUUCCAAGUUCCAAGCAAGUUUAUUCCAUUGUUAUGUUGUACUUAAUUCGUAGUUACUUUCAUAUUAUUAUCACCAAUGGUUACUCUUAUUUGGUGCUGUACUAUCUUAUGUUUUUUUAAGAAAGAAUUUUUGUCUAGAACAUUACCUGUACAGCGAUGACAUUAUUGUACUUAAAGGAUAAACAACUUCAUUUGUUUCCAGGUAAGCAUUUAUUGCUUUUAUAUCAAGUCAUGGCUUUUGAUUAUAAAAUCUAUAAAAAUAUUGUACAACAGAAAGUUACCCCAUUGUCAGCAGUUUUAUAUUUGUUCAAUAUACAAAUAAAUAAAUUGUACUAAAAAUGUAAAUGUUUUGGAAAAGUUCAGCAAGAGUGAUCAAUUUGUGAUGCAUUUUAAACAUGUUAUUUAUUUUGGUUUAUUUGAAGUGAAUGGUGCUAAUAAUUAAAUAAUGGCUUACAAGUUAUGUACAGAUCAUCAUACAUGUAUGUAAAUACAAGAAUUGUAAAUAUUUACUAUUUAUUCCAAAGAGGAUUGUUCCUGUAUGAGAAACAAUAUGGAUUAUCAACCUGCAAUAAAGGGAGAUAUCUUUAAUUUGCUAUGACAGGGAGAUAACCUACUGUUUAUCAUUGUACAUUGUGAUGAAAUUUUGUGUUUUGUGAUAAAAUAUUCUGUUGUUGUUACUGAUUAAAUGUGGGCUUGGAAUUCUUUUUAUUUUGCCAAAUAUUGAUUGUGAAAUAGAUUCCAAACCAAAGUAGUUUAGCAGCUUGGAAAGAUGUGGGAUAAUUUUCAAAAAUACAGUAAAGAGUAAAAUAACAAAAAUACUGAACUGCAAGGAAA